RNAcentral lists this ribosomal RNA (253 nucleotides) under uncultured bacterium. RNAcentral describes it as "partial 16S ribosomal RNA". It matches the Rfam family "Bacterial small subunit ribosomal RNA", at positions 524 to 776 of the family's 1533-position model. The record is from RNAcentral.
UACGUAGGGGGCAAGCGUUGUCCGGAUUUAUUGGGCGUAAAGAGCGUGUAGGCGGCUAUACAGGUCCGCUGUGAAAACUCGAGGCUCAACCUCGAGACGUCGGUGGAAACCGUAUGGCUAGAGUCCGGAAGAGGAGAGUGGAAUUCCUGGUGUAGCGGUGAAAUGCGCAGAUAUCAGGAAGAACACCCGUGGCGAAGGCGCUCUACUGGACCUGCACUGACACUGAGGGACGAAAGCUAGGGGAGCGAAUGGG